This 431-nucleotide unclassified non-coding RNA is filed under the name Hevea brasiliensis (rubber tree). The record is from RNAcentral. Lineage: Eukaryota; Viridiplantae; Streptophyta; Magnoliopsida; Malpighiales; Euphorbiaceae.
GUAAUAUCUUUGUUGACUUUUAGCUAUAUACAGAUAUGGUAAAGAGAUAGUUACAGAGAGUAGAACAUAAAAGAAUCAAGAGAGAGAUAAGAACAGAUUAAGAGAGAAUAGAAAAGAUGAGUAUUUUAUUGAUAGAGUUUCAGAAUGUCUUCUUGUUGAGCUCUCCAACUCAUUUAUACAACUAUUUUUCCUUGUUCUUGACAGUUAUAAUUGCUCCUUCCAAGAUAACUACUUCCUAAUUACUUCCUCCUUCUUUAACCACUUUUCCCUUCUAUUCUAACUCCUCUACUCACUAGCAUUCAAUCUUGACUUAUUCUUAUGCAUGAUUCUCCGAUACAUAACAAGACAUUCUUGUCCCCAAGAAUGUACAAAGUUAGGGAAUUGAGCUUGAAUAUAAGUCCUAUUCUCCCAAGUAGCAUCUUCAAUUGGAA